This 216-nucleotide ribosomal RNA is filed under the name Gloeochaete wittrockiana. Its description in RNAcentral is "partial Bacterial large subunit ribosomal RNA". It matches the Rfam family "Bacterial large subunit ribosomal RNA", at positions 2263 to 2462 of the family's 2925-position model. The record is from RNAcentral. Lineage: Eukaryota; Glaucocystophyceae; Gloeochaetales; Gloeochaetaceae.
GGGUAGUUUGACUGGGGCGGUCGCCUCCUAAAAUGUAACGGAGGCGUACAAAGGUAAAUUCGUACUUUUAUUGAAAAAUAUUAGUAUUUAGAGUGUAAUGGCAUAAAUUUACUUGACUGUAAAACUAACAAGUUGAGCAGGGAGAUAGUUAAUUCUAUUUCGGUCAUAGUGAUCCGGUGGUGCUUAGUGGACAGGCCAUCGCUCAACGGAUAAAAG